RNAcentral lists this ribosomal RNA (544 nucleotides) under uncultured archaeon. RNAcentral describes it as "bacterial SSU rRNA". It matches the Rfam family "Archaeal small subunit ribosomal RNA", at positions 333 to 879 of the family's 1478-position model. The record is from RNAcentral.
CAGCAGGCGCGAAAACUUUGCAAUACACGAAAGUGUGACAGGGUCAUCCCGAGUGCCGACCGCUGAGGUUGGCUUUUACCCAGUCUAGAAAGCUGGGGGAAUAAGGAGAGGGCAAGUCUGGUGUCAGCCGCCGCGGUAAUACCAGCUCUCCGAGUGGUGUGGACGUUUAUUGGGCCUAAAGCAUCCGUAGCUGGCUGAACAAGUCCCCUGUUAAACCCACCGAUUUAAUCGUUGGUCUGCGGGGGAUACUGCUCGGCUAGGGGACGAGAGAGGCAGACGGUAUUCCCGGGGUAGGGGUGAAAUCCUAUAAUCCCGAGAAGACCACCAGUGGCGAAGGCUGUCUGCUAGAACGCGCCCGACGGUGAGGGAUGAAAGCUGGGGGAGCGAACCGGAUUAGAUACCCGGGUAGUCCCAGCUGUAAACGAUGCAGACUAGGUGUUUGGACGGCCACGUGCCGUUCUAGUGCCGCAGGGAAGCUGUUAAGUCUGCCGCCUGGGGAGUACGAUCGCAAGAUUGAAACUUAAAGGAAUUGGCGGGGGAGCAC